UUUGAUGGCGGCUGUACGCAGGGCGCUUCGGCGCGCCGGCUUCCUUAGGUUCCCCGGUCUGCUAACCUGCGUCCAGCUGCCUCCCUU
RNAcentral lists this non-coding RNA (87 nucleotides) under Pseudomonas putida. RNAcentral also lists the same sequence under 2 other names. The record is from RNAcentral. Lineage: Bacteria; Pseudomonadati; Pseudomonadota; Gammaproteobacteria; Pseudomonadales; Pseudomonadaceae.